GCCCCAUAUGGGGGCUCAAACAACCCAAGAAAGCAGUUUAGGUCUACCAGAAGGAUGCCCUCUCCAAACUUAGUACAUCUCAUAAUGUAAACACGUAAUUUCUGUUGUCUAAGUGACCAGACUUCUACCAAAAUACCAAGUGUAUUUGUCAAAGCGAACCUUGCUGCCUCUGGACUUGGACAAAAGAGGAUCUCCUUCACAGGAAAUGAAGCUGACCCAGAAGUCCUUUACGAAAAGCUAAUUGAGGCCUCCCCAAGCUUACAGAUGCUGGAGGGUUUGCGCUUCUAAAAAUUGCAGGGACAACACGGUGCAGAAAUUUGGAACUUAUUCCCUGUCAACAUGAGGGAUACACAGUACAGUAUUUAAAAGCAUCAGAGAAAAGUUUUGGACAAGCAACAAUUUGUAUUCGUCCUCUGCAAAGAAGUCUACCUGUUAAUGCUGAGUUCUGAUCAGGCGUGUACAGGCAGUGAUGAGCCAGUGGUAGCAGAGCCAACCUUUCCCAACUAUGACCUACACAGCAGAAACACAGCAACUGAAGUCAGACCAUCUUCCUCAGCAAGUACUGCAAACAGUACAGAACCUUACCCUGACAUUACUGGAGAUGAGUUGAAGGAGAAAAUUGAUUGGGAAAAACCUAAGUGAUCCACAGUAAGCAGCAAAGGAUUUUAAAAUGGCUUUGCUAAAAGAUAAUGAACAUGAAAGACCACUUGUUCUGAAAAUGGAUAUAAUCUGUUAGCGAGGAAGAUAGUGAAAAUCUCUUCUUUACUUUUAUAAAAGAAAGCAAAAUUGGCCUCCCCAGUUACCUGUACCCUGGAAGUACAUUGUACAGUGAACACAUUUUAGAGAAAUCUUGUUUUUUCUAUCCUAUUGUGUGAGUGAUAACAUUGAUGUCAUUAAUGUAGGAUAUGCAGCUGUUGGAGAGGGUGUGGUUCGACACAUUUUUAGCACACUGCUGGGAAAGAUUCAAUUUGGUUUCAAUAUGAAUAUUGGAAAUGUAGUACAGACAUUAUUGUUUGAAGGAGAACCUGACCACCUGAUCCCAAGCAAUUCUGAGUGUCUCGUUGAGAGCAGUCUUUUUGAAGCAGCUGGAAGAAUAUUGGGGCACUCUUUCUAGCAGGAUGGGCCUUGUCUGGUUGGACUGAGUCCUGUUAUCAUACAUGUAUUACUCUGAGGUCAACCAGAGUUGGCAACUGUGGCAACUAAAGAUUGUGCAGACCUGGACUACAGAGCCACAAUACAACUAUCUAGCUGCAAGGAGAUACAGCACUUACGACAGAGCAGGAGGACACAAUAUCACACCUUGCCCUGGCGUGGGAUCUGCCAGCUGUAUCCACAACUAACAGGAGAUGAUUCUGGAGAGAAUUAACUGGCCGACAGAUGCUUGUAGCGAUGAAGAUGAUGAAGAGUUCUGUGUGGAAACCAAGUGCUGGGUUGCAGGUUUCUUAAGAAUGUUCAUUGAAAAUGGUAUGUUUAUAUAUUUUGCUCUGUGUCAAGGAAGGCACCACCUCCUGAUAAAAAUCAUGUCUUACACUUCACUUAUUUUGCAGCAUCAUCAAGAGAGUUGGCUGAACUCCUUAAAUUCUGGGUGGGAUGGGAGAUCUUGCCAAAGGAGCUUAAUGUUGAGCUAUCAACUGGUACCUGUAUAACAUCAGCCGCAUGUUUCGAAAAACUGAGGAUACCAGCAAACCUCCAGAACUACUCAAACUUUGCGACCUCUCUUGAAGCUUCAAUUAGCCGUAUUUAUUCUGGUUUUGGCCUUGUCUGAUCAUUGAAAUGUUACUUAUCCACACAUUUGUUAUUGAUGUUGACUUCUGUUUCAUUUACAGGACAGUUGUAUAACUUUCGAAUGGUUAGCUGUACUAUGCAAUUCCUUAUUACUACUGAAGCUUAAAAUUAGGAUAAAAUAUUUUUUGGACACAGUCUUUUCUCAGUGUCUUUAUUCCUCACAAAUCAGUCUUUGUUAUCUUGCUAGGACAAUAUACAUGCUAGGUAACAGAUAAUUCAGUCGCAUGAAAUAAAGACAAUACAUUUUUUAAAAAAAAGAAAAACUGUCACCCUAAUCAGUUUAAUAUGCUUCUAAUAUGUUGCACAGUUUCUACAUAGUUGGCCACUGCAUUAUCACAGCUGUCUGCUGGAGCAGGCAAUGAGGCAGCUUCUGCAUCAGUGAGAUCACGAGGCAGUUGAAUCUCUGGCACAGACACACUGCUAUGGUGGCUAUGAGGUCCAACCCAGUCAACUUCGUAACUGAUGCUAAAUACAAACAGCUGAAGAUGCCAGAGACACAUUUCCCAGGAAAGCCAUUAACACUGUACUCAAUAACCUUCUAUGUAGAUGACUGCUUAAAGUCAGUGGGAAAAGAAGAACAAGCAAUAAAGCUGGCAAGGACUUUCAACCUCUAUGCCUCAGCGGGGGAUUCCACCUGACUAAGUGGAAGCAAAGAAUAAAAGUAAACCGACGUAUCGCGGAGCCAAAAUGUCUGAAGUGUAUUUACGGCCCUCGUUGAUGACUUCACAAAGAAGUCCGAAACAAGACGUCACUUACCACCUUUAAUUUCCUGUAGCCAUUUCUGUUUCUGUAUAAAUACCCCCCGUUUUGCCUUAUGAGUUUGUCAAAUGCUUGGUUGAACCUGUUGUGUUUCAGCAUUUUUUGACCUGUCCGUUGGACAUUACAUGGGGUGGUUCCCCAAAACUUUAUUUGACUGGCUAUCACAUUUUCCUUUCUUACAAUAUAUACUAGGGGGCUUCGUCCCCUGCUCGCUUUGCGAACCCACCCCUUCCCCCUUACCCCAGGGUGUGCCACGCACCAGCCACUUCGCAUCUCUGCUGCUUGCAUUGUGAUGGGAUUGGCUGAAUGCAUGCUUUGCAGAUGCAGAUGGAUCACCUGCUUGCUUACUGCUCCUCCUGCCAUGCUGCGUAUUCUGCUUCUCGCACUGCACGGUGAUCAUUUCAAAGCCUGUACAACAGCCGUCCUCGCUGCACCUGAUUUGCUCAAACACCAUUUUGAGUUCAUUUAAUAAACGUAAGACUUUCUGAUAAAACAAUCUGCUUACGAAAGUGGGAAUAUCCAGACCUGA
Polypterus senegalus (gray bichir) is the source of this 3073-nucleotide long non-coding RNA. RefSeq lists it as uncharacterized. The record is from RefSeq and is a predicted model, not a curated record. The transcript has 9 exons. Lineage: Eukaryota; Metazoa; Chordata; Cladistia; Polypteriformes; Polypteridae.